UCUUCCCUUUUGCGGCCAUCACCGAAGCGGGAGCGGCUUAGAAGAGAGAUUGCAUUCCUGAGAAAGAUGCUUCUGAGACUCUUGCUCCCAAAGAGUGGCAAGAUGAGUUGAGCCAGGGACCAAAAAACAGUUGUACGUGGACACUAUAAAGGUCAGCAAAUUGGCAAAGUAGUCCAGGUUUACAGGAAGAAAUAUGUUAUCUACAUUGAACGGGUGCAGCGGGAAAAGGCUAAUGGCACAACUGUCCACGUAGGCAUUCACCCCAGCAAGGUGGUUAUCACUAGGCUAAAACUGGACAAAGACCGCAAAAAGAUCCUCGAACGGAAAGCCAAAUCUCGCCAAGUAGGAAAGGA
This 353-nucleotide long non-coding RNA is filed under the name Homo sapiens (human). RNAcentral describes it as "non-protein coding lnc-KRBA2-1:2". The record is from RNAcentral. Lineage: Eukaryota; Metazoa; Chordata; Mammalia; Primates; Hominidae.